This 437-nucleotide ribosomal RNA is filed under the name uncultured bacterium. RNAcentral describes it as "partial 16S ribosomal RNA". It matches the Rfam family "Bacterial small subunit ribosomal RNA", at positions 29 to 507 of the family's 1533-position model. The record is from RNAcentral.
AGCGAACGCUGGCGGCAGGCUUAACACAUGCCAGUCGAGCGGGCAUCCUUGUGGUGUCAGCGGCAGACGGGUGAGUAACGCGUGGGAACGUGCCCUUCGGUUCGGAAUAACUCAGGGAAACUUGAGCUAAUACCGGAUACGUGCGAGAGCAGAAAGGUUUAUCUGCCGAAGGAUCGGCCCGCGUCUGAUUAGCUAGUUGGUGAGGUUACGGCUCACCAAGGCGACGAUCAGUAGCUGGUCUGAGAGGAUGAUCAGCCACACUGGGACUGAGACACGGCCCAGACUCCUACGGGAGGCAGCAGUGGGGAAUAUUGGGCAAUGGGGGCAACCCUGAUCCAGCCAUGCCGCGUGAGUGAUGACGGCCUUAGGGUUGUAAAGCUCUUUUCUCCGGGACGAUAAUGACGGUACCGGAGGAAUAAGCCCCGGCUAACUUCGUG